UCCACUUCUAAUUUUAUCCCGAGCGUAUCCGAGGCCAAGGAAGAGUAGGGUGAGGAAGAGGAGGAAGUGCUGGAUCCGGGAGGCGUCUCCCUUGGGGCAUCCCAUUGCUUCUGAGCAAGAAGCGCAAGGGCACCAAUGUGAUCCUCCUCAAGUUCCUUUGGGCCCAAUAGUUCGAGGCCACCGAGGCGUUGGAGAUCUUCGGAGGACGCUGCGUUGACGAUGGGAGUUCGGGCUCGAGUGCGCGAGAGAUGUUUGUGAGAAUGACGAAGAGGCGGCGGCACUGGCAGAGCACCUUAAGGGUACGACCUACAUCGUGAGGCGCAAUUGAGAUGGGAACCCCAUGUGCUACAAUGUCUCAAGUUUGUUUAUCUGCUCGGUGAUCCUCAUUUGGAGGCCAAAAAGGGUUUGGAACACGUUGAGGGAGGAUGAAUGGGGUUGGCUUAUAUUAAUCCACUGGGACUCUUUGUUUUGGGGUACAGACAUCAAGUAGAAAUAGAUUGAAAGGCAUGCGGACAUUGGUGUUAUUCUCAAAGUGAAGCUUUUAGCUUCUUUGUCUAUGAUUGAUGGAGAGGUUGAUUGGAAGAUUGUUGCUAUCUCAUUGGAUGAUCCUCAAGCUGCACUUAUAAGAGUAUCUACAUCAGUCGUUUUAUAAUAUCUCUAAAAUUUAGUAUAAAUGGUUCACUUUAUUAAAUUUAGAUCAUCAUUUUUCACUAUACAUUACAUCAAUAUACCCUAAAAUUUUCAUUAUCUUUAUUUUUUUUAUUAUUUUCUUCUCUCUCUUUCACUUUUUUUUAUUAUUUUUUUCUCUCUAGGUUAUAUCUACUUUUCAUUACCCAAUCCAUUCCUUUUUUUCUCUUUCAAAUUAAAAUGAUAUUUUAAUAUUUAAGGAAAGAACUUUAUUCUUUAAAUUUAAAGAAGUAAUAUUCAUGUGAUGCAAAAGUUGUUUUUAUAUAAAAUAUAAAAUUUAAGAUAAAUUCUGUAUUUAGGGAAGCUGAUGUGGAUACUUUAAAUGAUGUAGAUGAUGUUGAA
This is a long non-coding RNA of Zingiber officinale, 1029 nucleotides long. RefSeq lists it as uncharacterized. The record is from RefSeq and is a predicted model, not a curated record. Lineage: Eukaryota; Viridiplantae; Streptophyta; Magnoliopsida; Zingiberales; Zingiberaceae. The transcript has 3 exons.